This 692-nucleotide long non-coding RNA is filed under the name Bos mutus (wild yak). RNAcentral describes it as "lncRNA (ENSBMUG00000019991.1)". Lineage: Eukaryota; Metazoa; Chordata; Mammalia; Artiodactyla; Bovidae. The record is from RNAcentral.
CUUGAAUAUUUUGUGAACAAAAAUGCUCAAUAAAGAGGAUAUUGAAUUGCAAACAACAAAAGCACAAGAACAAGGAGUUGCCAAUUUAAAUGAGGAUUGGAUGAAAUGAACAUUUCUCUCCAUAACCAACGAUUAUCAAUUGUCAUACUGCUAGGUCCCUGUGACACAGAAGAAAUAUGUCGUAACUAGUCUAUGGUUGAGUGAAACUAUAAUGCAGAUAUGGUCAGUGUAAGAGCAUAGUGCAGAAAUAUAUUUUUUAAUUUGUGUGAAAAUGUGGAUGUAUGUGAAAGAUGGGGGUUCAUAGAUAAGUGUGGCAAUUAUUGAAAAUUGUUGUGGUUCACCAGCAUGUUCACCAAGGACAUAGAUUAAUUAACACUCACUGGGGGUUGCAGUCAUUAAUUCCCCUACAAUCAGAAAGUGAAUGACAUAAUCCUUUGUUCUACUCCAGAAUCCUCAAGAGACAGGAUUCCAAGUGCAGAAAGCCACGAGUACUGAUCAAGAGAACAUAUCUUUCUGUUUGGAACUCGGGGACGGGGCGGAGCAUCCUCUGAGAAGCUUGGAUUUGAGCUGUGCCUGGCCACUCUUGGGGGAGGGGCUGCAUUUCACGAGGCUGCAGCUGACAAGAAGCUUCAAGGUAAUGGCUGUCUUAAAGCUAGUUUUUUUUCUGGGAUUUCUUUGGGCUUUAGUGUUAC